GUUGACCUCGGAUCAGGUAGGGAUACCCGCUGAACUUAAGCAUAUCAAUAAGCGGAGGAAAAGAAACCAACAGGGAUUGCUCUAGUAACGGCGAGUGAAGCAGCAAUAGCUCAAAUUUGAAAUCUGGCGUCUUCGACGUCCGAGUUGUAAUUUGUAGAGGAUGCUUCUGAGUAACCACCGACCUAAGUUCCUUGGAACAGGACGUCAUAGAGGGUGAGAAUCCCGUAUGCGGUCGGAAAGGUGCUCUACACGUAGCUCCUUCGACGAGUCGAGUUGUUUGGGAAUGCAGCUCUAAAUGGGAGGU
RNAcentral lists this ribosomal RNA (304 nucleotides) under Cladosporium sp. RNAcentral describes it as "eukaryotic LSU rRNA". It matches the Rfam family "Eukaryotic large subunit ribosomal RNA", at positions 1 to 300 of the family's 3401-position model. The record is from RNAcentral. Lineage: Eukaryota; Fungi; Ascomycota; Dothideomycetes; Cladosporiales; Cladosporiaceae.